CCACACUGGAACUGAGACACGGUCCAGACACCUACGGGUGGCAGCAGUCGAGAAUUUUUCACAAUGGGCGCAAGCCUGAUGGAGCGACGCCGCGUGGGGAUGAAGGGCUUCGGCUCGUAAACCCCUGUCAUUUGCGAACAAGGGCGCCAACCUAACAUGUUGUCGCUUGAUAGUAGCAGAAGAGGAAGGGACGGCUAACUCUGUGCCAGCAGCCGCGGUAAUACAGAGGUCCCAAGCGUUGUUCGGAUUCACUGGGCGUAAAGGGUGCGUAGGUGGCGAUUUAAGUCGGGUGUGAAAUCUCCGGGCUCAACCCGGAGGGUGCGCCCGAAACUGAGUUGCUAGAGGAUGGGAGGGGAGACUGGAAUUCUCGGUGUAGCAGUGAAAUGCGUAGAUAUCGAGAGGAACACCGGUGGC
Molecule: ribosomal RNA, 414 nt
Filed under: uncultured bacterium
Lineage: Bacteria
Description: bacterial SSU rRNA
Rfam family: Bacterial small subunit ribosomal RNA
Source: RNAcentral